AACGAACGCUGGCGGCAGGCUUAACACAUGCAAGUCGAGCGCCCCGCAAGGGGAGCGGCCGCCGGGUGAGUAACGCGUGGGAACGUACCUUUUGGUUCGGAACAACUCCGGGAAACUGUAGCUACUACCGGAUAAGCCCUAACGGGGAAAGAUUUAUCGCCGAAAGAUCGGCCCGCGUCUGAUUAGCUAGUUGGUGAGGUAACGGCUCACCAAGGCGACGAUCAGUAGCUGGUCUGAGAGGAUGAUCAGCCACACUGGGACUGAGACACGGCCCAGACUCCUACGGGAGGCAGCAGUGGGGAAUAGUGGACAAUGGGCGCAAGCCUGAUCCAGCCAUGCCGCGUGAGUGAUGAAGGCAUUAGGGUUGUAAAGCUCUUUUGUCCGGGAAGAUAAUGACUGUACCGGAAGAAUAAGCCCCGGCUAACUUCGUG
RNAcentral lists this ribosomal RNA (431 nucleotides) under uncultured bacterium. RNAcentral describes it as "partial 16S ribosomal RNA". It matches the Rfam family "Bacterial small subunit ribosomal RNA", at positions 29 to 507 of the family's 1533-position model. The record is from RNAcentral.